Callithrix jacchus (white-tufted-ear marmoset) is the source of this 298-nucleotide unclassified non-coding RNA. It matches the Rfam family "Metazoan signal recognition particle RNA". Rfam says of the family: The signal recognition particle (SRP) is a universally conserved ribonucleoprotein. It is involved in the co-translational targeting of proteins to membranes. NCBI's taxonomy places the organism in Eukaryota, Metazoa, Chordata, Mammalia, Primates, Cebidae. The record is from Ensembl.
GCCAGGCCUGGUAGUGCAUGCCUAUGGUCCCAAUCCCAGCUACUCAGGAAGCUGAAGCAGAAGGAUCACUUGAGACUAAGACUUCUGGGCUGCAGUGAGCUAUGCCUGUCAGGUUUUCACAUUAAGUUCAGCAUCAAUAUGGUGAUCUCCUGGGAGCAAGAGGUUGCCUAAGAAGGAGUGAACUGGCCUGGGCUGGAAACAGAGUAUGUCAAAACUCUUAUGCUAAUCAGUAAUGGUCUUAUCCCUAUGAAAAGCCACUGCACUCCAGCCGAUGCAACAUAGUGAGACGCUAUCUCUA